RNAcentral lists this ribosomal RNA (331 nucleotides) under uncultured eukaryote. RNAcentral's name for it is "partial 18S ribosomal RNA". It matches the Rfam family "Eukaryotic small subunit ribosomal RNA", at positions 1470 to 1796 of the family's 1831-position model. The record is from RNAcentral.
CCCUUAGAUGUUCUGGGCCGCACGCGCGCUACACUGUUCGACGCAGCGAGUCUUAACCUUGACCGAAAGGUUUGGGUAAUCUUCAGCAAAGUCGAACGUGAUGGGGAUCGAUCAUUGCAAUUAUUUAUCGUGAACGAGGAAUUCCUAGUAAGUGCAAGUCAUCAGCUUGCGCUGAUUACGUCCCUGCCCUUUGUACACACCGCCCGUCGCUACUACCGAUUGAAUGGUUUAGUGAGAUCUCUGGAUUGACGCUGGCUAGGGGGCGACCCUUGGCCAGACUGUUGAGAAACUGCUCAAACUUGAUCAUUUAGAGGAAGUAAAAGUCGUAACA